Molecule: ribosomal RNA, 434 nt
Filed under: uncultured Lachnospiraceae bacterium
Lineage: Bacteria; Bacillati; Bacillota; Clostridia; Lachnospirales; Lachnospiraceae
Description: partial 16S ribosomal RNA
Rfam family: Bacterial small subunit ribosomal RNA
Source: RNAcentral
ACGGAAGGCAGCAGUGGGGAAUAUUGCACAAUGGGCGCAAGCCUGAUGCAGCGACGCCGCGUGAGCGAAGAAGUAUUUCGGUAUGUAAAGCUCUAUCAGCAGGGAAGAAAAUGACGGUACCUGACUAAGAAGCUCCGGCUAAAUACGUGCCAGCAGCCGCGGUAGUACGUAUGGAGCAAGCGUUAUCCGGAUUUACUGGGUGUAAAGGGAGCGUAGACGGAACAGCAAGUCUGAUGUGAAAGGCAGGGGCUCAACUCCUGGACUGCAUUGGAAACUGCUGAUCUUGAGUGCCGGAGAGGUAAGCGGAAUUCCUAGUGUAGCGGUGAAAUGCGUAGAUAUUAGGAGGAACACCAGUGGCGAAGGCGGCUUACUGGACGGUAACUGACGUUGAGGCUCGAAAGCGUGGGGAGCAAACAGGAUUAGAUACCCUGGUA